RNAcentral lists this ribosomal RNA (439 nucleotides) under uncultured Allobrachymonas sp. RNAcentral describes it as "bacterial SSU rRNA". It matches the Rfam family "Bacterial small subunit ribosomal RNA", at positions 937 to 1382 of the family's 1533-position model. The record is from RNAcentral. Lineage: Bacteria; Pseudomonadati; Pseudomonadota; Betaproteobacteria; Burkholderiales; Comamonadaceae.
UGAUGUGGUUUAAUUCGAUGCAACGCGAAAACCUUACCCACCUUUGACAUGUACGGAAUCCUUUAGAGAUUUGGAGUGCUCGAAAGAGAACCUGCACACAGGUGCUGCAUGGCUGUCGUCAGCUCGUGUCGUGAGAUGUUGGGUUAAGUCCCGCAACGAGCGCAACCCUUGCCAUUAGUUGCUACGAAAGGGCACUCUAAUGGGACUGCCGGUGACAAACCGGAGGAAGGUGGGGAUGACGUCAAGUCCUCAUGGCCCUUAUAGGUGGGGCUACACACGUCAUACAAUGGCCGGUACAGAGGGUAGCCAACCCGCGAGGGGGAGCCAAUCCCACAAAGCCGGUCGUAGUCCGGAUCGCAGUCUGCAACUCGACUGCGUGAAGUCGGAAUCGCUAGUAAUCGCGGAUCAGCAUGUCGCGGUGAAUACGUUCCCGGGUCUU